Molecule: ribosomal RNA, 468 nt
Filed under: uncultured bacterium
Lineage: Bacteria
Description: partial 16S ribosomal RNA
Rfam family: Bacterial small subunit ribosomal RNA
Source: RNAcentral
GACGAACGCUGGCGGCGUGCUUAACACAUGCAAGUCGAACGGAAAGGCCCUGCUUUUGUGGGCUGCUCGAGUGGCGAACGGGUGAGUAACACGUGAGUAACCUGUCCUUGACUUUGGGAUAACUUCAGGAAACUGGGGCUAAUACCGGCUAGGAGCUCCCGCUGCAUGGUGGGGGUUGGAAAGUUUCGGCGGUUGGGGAUGGACUCGCGGCUUAUCAGAUUGUUGGUGGGGUAGUGGCUUACCAAGGCUUUGACGGGUAGCCGGCCUGAGAGGGUGACCGGCCACAUUGGGACUGAGAUACGGCCCAGACUCCUACGGGAGGCAGGAGUGGGGAAUAGUGCACAAUAGGCGGAAGGCUGGUGCAGCAACGCCGCGUGGGGGAUGACGGCCUUCGGGUUGUAAACCGCUUUCGCCUGAGACGAAGCGUGAGUGACGGUAAUGGGUAAAGAAGCACCGGCUAACUACGUG